UUUAAAUAAAACUCCCUCUUCUUACUUCUCUCUCUGUUGGUUCAUAUUGCUUAUCAUGGCGUUCUUUAGAAUUUUGAUCCAGAUCGAGUGUUGUGUAUGUCUACUAAAUUCAUUUGAUGAUUGUAAGUAUUUCCUUUUGUUUAUCAAUCGAAAACAUAUAGUAUAAUAUAGUUUCAUAUGGUUAAAAACAUCCGAAACUAUAUUUUAAUUCCUCUCUGCGAUUAGAUUUAUACAUUUUUAUCAUGCUUAUAUAUAAUUAAUACAAUCAUAGCAAAAAAUUGGAUAGAUCAUAGAUGUAAUUCAAUUGCUUUGUUCUGUAUUCAGAUCUAAGCCUCAAACUCCAUAUGUUUAUAACGAGACUAUAUACAUCCUCUAACAGCCAUUUGGAUUUCAAUCUCCAACAACAAUCUUUGGGCUACUUCGUUGAAAUCACAAGGUAACCAAUUUAAACAGAGCACGUCUAGUGUAUGGAAUUUGUCAAGAAUUGUCUCCAUAGAAAUUAUGUUUACCAAGUUUAUGAAUAAAGAUGAAGAAUAAAAAGGAGUAAUGAUGAGGUUUGUAACAAUGGAAAUGGAAAGGAGCAAAAGAUGGAAGAUAAAGCUGGCCUAAUUGUUACGAUGCUUCACUCAGAAGAGUUGGGAGCUUGUAAAGAUGAGAAGGAGGUUAAAGCGUCAAGAAUUGAAAACCUCGAUUGGGGCGAGUAAUGACUAAUUAAACGGACAUUGUUUGUUAUUUCAUGAUUAAACGGUGCACUUUUACCAUUCCUACAGGUGUACAAAAAGUUAAAUAUAUGGUGUCCCUUAUAAGCAUUUACUUAGAGUAUUUUGGAUUUAGAUUAUUUCAAAAAGGAUGGGUUGUAAUCUUCUCUUAAGAUCCUAUAUGUGAAAAACAAUCUCAAAAACACUAAGACCUCUAUUUAGAUUCUUAAGAUCUCAACUAGGAUAGCUU
This 948-nucleotide long non-coding RNA is filed under the name Lactuca sativa (garden lettuce). RNAcentral's name for it is "long non-coding RNA (LSAT_LNC008210)". Lineage: Eukaryota; Viridiplantae; Streptophyta; Magnoliopsida; Asterales; Asteraceae. The record is from RNAcentral.